Pyrus x bretschneideri (Chinese white pear) is the source of this 530-nucleotide long non-coding RNA. RefSeq lists it as uncharacterized. The transcript is spliced from 2 exons. Lineage: Eukaryota; Viridiplantae; Streptophyta; Magnoliopsida; Rosales; Rosaceae. The record is from RefSeq and is a predicted model, not a curated record.
UUCCAGUUUUAAUGUUCUUUUUAUGUGUUGUCUUUGCUUUCAUAAAUUGAUACCUUAUUGUUGAUAAAACUGAUUUGGUUUUGCAGACCAUAAUUUUUAAUCAACAAAAUUAAGCUGAAAAUUAAAUUGAGAUUAAGAUUUUUAAGCGAGAAAUUCAAUUGAAAUUGUAAUGAAUUUGCAAAUUUGUCAAGUAUAUCUUACAUUCGUGGUUCCAUAUUCACUUUACCCAUAACUAUUGAAUUUUCUAUCUUGACUGGAUGGAUUUUUAUAGUUUUCAGGAUCUACAGUUGUAAUGCCUUUGAUGGAUAAAACAGAGGACCCAGCUACUCUUAUAGAGCUUCUUUAGCAUUGUAAGUUAAAAUUGCAUAUCAUUUUUUUUGUUUCAUGGAAUUCAUUAUGUUUAAUAGCAUACCAAUUAUGUGAUAACAAUCGUUAUCUUAGCAGUUUCUAACAAUUUGUAAAGUACGGAUAAAUGUGUAGAAGUUUGAAUUAUACAUAUGAAAGUUUCAUCUAUUAUACUCUUUUACUAA